UACAGAGGGUGCAAGCGUUGUUCGGAAUUAUUGGGCGUAAAGGGCGCGUAGGCGGUGCGGUAAGUCUGUAGUGAAAUCUCUGGGCUCAACUCAGAGCUCUGCUGCAGAAACUGCCGUGCGUUGAGUGUGGGAGAGGUGAGUGGAAUUCCCGGUGUAGCGGUGAAAUGCGUAGAUAGUCGGGAGGAACACCUGUGGCGAAAGCGGCUCACUGGACCACAACUGACGCUGAGGCGCGAAAGCUAGGGGAGCAAACAGG
RNAcentral lists this ribosomal RNA (256 nucleotides) under uncultured bacterium. RNAcentral describes it as "partial 16S ribosomal RNA". It matches the Rfam family "Bacterial small subunit ribosomal RNA", at positions 524 to 776 of the family's 1533-position model. The record is from RNAcentral.